GAUGAACGCUGACGGCGUGCCUAACACAUGCAAGUCGAACGGUUUUUGCGUCUUUAGCUUUGGAUUAGGUGGCGAACGGGUGAGUAACGCGUGGAGAACUUGCCUCACAGCUUGGGACAACCACUGGAAACGAAUGCUAAUACCGAAUAUUAUGAUACUAGCGCAUGCUAUAAUCGUGAAAGCUAUGGGCGCGUGGGGAGAGCGUUGGGGCCCAUUUGCUGGUUGGGGGGUUAAAGACUCACCAAGGCAAGGAUGGGUAGCCGGCUCGCGAGAGCGACCAGCGAAAAGAGGACUGAGAGACGGACCAGUCUCCUACGGGAGGCAGCGGAGGGGAAUAUUGCAGAAAAGGGGAAAGGCUGAUGCAGCGACGAUGCGUGCGGAAUGAAGGGGUUUGGGUGAAAAACAGCUUUCUGCAGGGAGGAAGCGAAAAUGACGGUACCUAAAGAAGAAGCCACGGCUAAAUACGUG
This 468-nucleotide ribosomal RNA is filed under the name uncultured bacterium. RNAcentral's name for it is "partial 16S ribosomal RNA". It matches the Rfam family "Bacterial small subunit ribosomal RNA", at positions 28 to 507 of the family's 1533-position model. The record is from RNAcentral.